Long non-coding RNA from Ictalurus punctatus (channel catfish), 265 nucleotides. The record is from Ensembl. Lineage: Eukaryota; Metazoa; Chordata; Actinopteri; Siluriformes; Ictaluridae.
UUUUAACGCUUCCCGGAUCUUGCUUAUGAGAUCACUCUUCACUUAUGAGUGCUGGCCUUGCAGAACGGCACACUCCUGAAUAAAUUCAGCUUGAUGUAUUCAAGGAGGAUCUGCACACUGUCCUCUUCACCACAGGCAUCUGCAGCAUUCCUGAAAGAUGAGCUGGCAGGAACCUGGAGGUCUCUUUUGCAGAUUUUCACCACAUCCAUCAUGCAUCUCAUUUGAGAUAAGCCUCCUUUGCAUGAGCCAGCAUUACUGGAAAAAA